UUCCUACUCCCUCUGUCCCAAAAUUAUUGUCUUAGAUUUUUCUAUAUAUGGAUUCAUUUAGAUAACUAGAUACAUCCGUAUCUAGACAAAUCCAACACAAUAACUUUGGGACGGAGGGAGUACUAU
Non-coding RNA from Hordeum vulgare subsp. vulgare (domesticated barley), 126 nucleotides. The record is from Rfam. NCBI's taxonomy places the organism in Eukaryota, Viridiplantae, Streptophyta, Magnoliopsida, Poales, Poaceae.